Molecule: long non-coding RNA, 181 nt
Organism: Leopardus geoffroyi (Geoffroy's cat)
Lineage: Eukaryota; Metazoa; Chordata; Mammalia; Carnivora; Felidae
Exons: 2
Source: RefSeq, a predicted model, not a curated record
CUGGGACGCCGAUUUUGUUCUUCUUGACUUUGAUUCCCAGACAGACUGUCUGAAUGAGGGCUCGGGGGAUUACUCAAAAGAAAGCUGCUGAAUCCAUGGUGAAGGAGAAGAGGAAUGACAGAAGAUAGGCUCCGCUUGGAGUCAGAUGCUCGGGAGCAAGACGACAUCAUGUCCGUCUCCA